CCUACGGGAGGCAGCAGUAGGGAAUAUUGCUCAAUGGGGGAAACCCUGAAGCAGCAACGCCGCGUGGAGGAUGAAGGUUUUCGGAUUGUAAACCCCUUUUGUUAGAGAAGAUAAUGACGGUAUCUAACGAAUAAGCACCGGCUAACUCCGUGCCAGCAGCCGCGGUAAUACGGAGGGUGCAAGCGUUACUCGGAAUCACUGGGCGUAAAGAGCGCGUAGGCGGGAUAGCAAGUCAGAUGUGAAAUCCUAUGGCUUAACCAUAGAACUGCAUUUGAAACUGUUAUUCUAGAGUAUGGGAGGGGUAGGUGGAAUUCUUGGUGUAGGGGUGAAAUGCGUAGAGAUCAAGAGGAACACUCAUUGCGAAGGCGACCUGCUAGAACAUAACUGACGCUGAUGCGCGAAAGCGUGGGGAGCAAACAGGAUUAGAUACCCCAGUAGUC
This 440-nucleotide ribosomal RNA is filed under the name uncultured bacterium. Its description in RNAcentral is "partial 16S ribosomal RNA". It matches the Rfam family "Bacterial small subunit ribosomal RNA", at positions 338 to 795 of the family's 1533-position model. The record is from RNAcentral.